UUGCAACACACCUGAAUCGUC
This 21-nucleotide microRNA is filed under the name Solanum tuberosum (potato). Its description in RNAcentral is "stu-miR6149-5p". The record is from miRBase by way of RNAcentral. Lineage: Eukaryota; Viridiplantae; Streptophyta; Magnoliopsida; Solanales; Solanaceae.